Molecule: ribosomal RNA, 305 nt
Filed under: uncultured bacterium
Lineage: Bacteria
Description: bacterial SSU rRNA
Rfam family: Bacterial small subunit ribosomal RNA
Source: RNAcentral
UACCUACGGGACGCAGCAGUGGGGAAUAUUGCACAAUGGGGGAAACCCUGAUGCAGCAACGCCGCGUGAGUGAAGAAGUCAUUCGUGAUGUAAAGCUCUAUCAGCAGGGAAGAAAAUGACGGUACCUGAGUAAGAAGCCCCGGCUAACUACGUGCCAGCAGCCGCGGUAAUACGUAGGGGGCGAGCGUUAUCCGGAUUUACUGGGUGUAAUGGGAGCGUAGACGGCAGAGCAAGUCUGAAGUGAAAGCCCGCGGCCCAACUGCGGGACUGCGUUGGAAACUGCCCGGCUAGAGUGCUGGCGAGGG